UGGCCUCCAGAACAUGGAGUCGAAGACCAUCUAUCACUGUGACUGCACCAGCCGAUUGAAAGCCUCAAGCAACCCAGCAUUCUGCCUUCUCUCAUGCUGGAUUUCGUCUCUCAGCAUUGCUUUACACUGCAAAAUGAGAAAAAAUGCCACGGCAAAAAAAGCUGUUCUAGAGGCUUCACUAAAGCCUCUGACCUACAUCAAGUGCUUAAGAAGAUAGAGGAAAAAGACUCUGCUGGGGUGCGAAUUUCAGGCAGUGACAGAAAAAGAGGGAUUCCUGUUCGCCUUUAUAAGCGAUGCCUGAGGCUAGAAAGCGGAGCUGAUAUUAUGGCACGGUUCAGAUGACUGUAGAAUAAGCUGCUAUGUGCAGUAACAAUAAAUGUUAUAAGCUUUAGAUUUCACGCAGGCUUUGCUCUUUUUCCCUGAUGGUGGAAAAUUGCAGCAUUUUAAGAAGUCAGGCCCUCGACUGGCAAAGUAUGGCCUUAUAAAUGUAAUUAUAUCCUUAUAAAUGUAAGUUAAAUGAAAACAUAAUUAAAUCAUUUUAUUGUUUCUGUUUGAUUUUGAAUUGAUUUUAAAUUCACUCUGUCGUCUGCACUGUACAUUGUAUGACUCAGUGAGGGAAAAAACUAGAAUAAUAAGUAAGAUUAAAGCUACAAACCCAGCAAAUCAUGGAAAAGCAUUGACUC
Molecule: long non-coding RNA, 683 nt
Organism: Oreochromis aureus
Lineage: Eukaryota; Metazoa; Chordata; Actinopteri; Cichliformes; Cichlidae
Source: Ensembl